RNAcentral lists this ribosomal RNA (431 nucleotides) under uncultured bacterium. RNAcentral's name for it is "bacterial SSU rRNA". It matches the Rfam family "Bacterial small subunit ribosomal RNA", at positions 958 to 1392 of the family's 1533-position model. The record is from RNAcentral.
AACGCGAAGAACCUUACCUACCCUUGACAUGUCACUAACGAAGUAGAGAUACAUUAGGUGCCCGUAAGGGAAAGUGAACACAGGUGCUGCAUGGCUGUCGUCAGCUCGUGUCGUGAGAUGUUGGGUUAAGUCCCGCAACGAGCGCAACCCUUGUCUUUAGUUGCUACGCAAGAGCACUCUAAAGAGACUGCCGGUGACAAACCGGAGGAAGGUGGGGAUGACGUCAAGUCCUCAUGGCCCUUAUGGGUAGGGCUUCACACGUCAUACAAUGGUGCGUACAGAGGGUUGCCAACCCGCGAGGGGGAGCUAAUCUCUUAAAACGCAUCGUAGUCCGGAUCGUAGUCUGCAACUCGACUACGUGAAGCUGGAAUCGCUAGUAAUCGCGGAUCAGCAUGUCGCGGUGAAUACGUUCCCGGGUCUUGUACACACCG